Molecule: ribosomal RNA, 435 nt
Filed under: uncultured bacterium
Lineage: Bacteria
Description: partial 16S ribosomal RNA
Rfam family: Bacterial small subunit ribosomal RNA
Source: RNAcentral
GAUGAACGCUGGCGGUAUGCUUAACACAUGCAAGUCGAACGGACUCUUCGGAGUUAGUGGCGGACGGGUGAGUAACGCGUGAGAAUCUGGCUUUGGGUUCGGGACAACCACUGGAAACGGUGGCUAAUACCGGAUGUGCCGAGAGGUAAAAGAGAAAUUGCCUGAAGAUGAGCUCGCGUCUGAUUAGCUAGUUGGUGAGGUAAAGGCUCACCAAGGCAGCGAUCAGUAGCUGGUCUGAGAGGAUGACCAGCCACACUGGGACUGAGACACGGCCCAGACUCCUACGGGAGGCAGCAGUGGGGAAUUUUCCGCAAUGGGCGAGAGUCUGACGGAGCAAUACCGCGUGAGGGAAGAAGGCUCUUGGGUUGUAAACCUCUUUUCUUAGGGAAGAACAAAAUGACGGUACCUAAGGAAUCAGCAUCGGCUAACUCCGUG